GAUCUGGUUGCAACAUGUGUUACUCCAUUGAUCGCCAGAGUUGAUUCGGCUGAUCUGGCUGGCUAGGCGGUGUACUCUUC
This 80-nucleotide small RNA is filed under the name Nannospalax galili (Upper Galilee mountains blind mole rat). Its description in RNAcentral is "7SK RNA (ENSNGAG00000007446.1)". It matches the Rfam family "7SK RNA", at positions 13 to 93 of the family's 331-position model. From Rfam's summary of the family: 7SK was discovered as an abundant small nuclear RNA in the mid-70s but a possible function has only recently been suggested. Two independent studies have found that 7SK RNA binds the CDK9/cyclin T complex (known as elongation factor P-TEFb). Lineage: Eukaryota; Metazoa; Chordata; Mammalia; Rodentia; Spalacidae. The record is from RNAcentral.